ACGUUACAUGCUAGCAUUAAAUCAUGUAUCCUGCAUCAAAUUUGGUAUCAGAACCCAUAGGUUUAGCAUAGGAUUUUUGUGUUGCACCUAGGUUAAGACUCACAUCUAGGGUUAGUAGAGUAUGCAUUGCAUAUAGGAUCAUAUUGCUGAAUUUUUGUUGGAGUAUCUUGUUGCUGAGUUUUCAGUACGCAGCCCCACUUAUACCAUUGCUGAAAUUUCAACAUAGUAAUUUCAGGUUGUUACAUUGCUGAGUUUUCAGUUUGUAAUUUUCGAAUUACACCCGUGCUGAAUUUUCAGUUUGUACCCUUGGGUUACCGUCUUACUGAAUUGUCAACAUAAGAUUUGAGGAUAGUGACUUGCUGAAUUUUGUAGUUAGUGUGUCUAGUGUGAUCUCUAAGCUAGUACUAUCAUUGUCAUCACAUUGUCCUAGGACCUAGUGUUUUCUUUAGAGUGUCCUUGUGUAUGCCCACUCAUUCAGGACGUGGCUUUGGUCUACAUCCCACUAUGAAUCUAGAGCAGAUUGACGAGGCCCUUAACACUAUCAACAACCGUCUGACGGCUAUUGAAGCGUACAAUAGGACCACCGCAACUUAAUUGACCGUGAUCAAUGCACGUGUCAAUCGGCUUGAAGCCUCCCUUCAGGCAAACCCCAACACUCGGGAAGAUGUCCAAUCACAAGUCAGGGAUCAAGUUGAGAUUGUGCCACUUGCAAUUAUUAGCCGCACCUUAAGCCAAAUUGUAGAAAGUGGUGAUUGACACAGGGAUUCAAUUUUCCACACUUAUGCCAAGUGUGGUGGCAAAAACUGCAAGAUGAUCAUUGAUAGUGGCGGUUGCAUCAAUGCGGUAUCUGCUCGCACCGUGGACCGCUUAGGUAUGCUAGUCGUUCCUCACCCUCAGCCCUAUCGAGUCUCAUGGGUUGAUGCAUCUUUAAUUCUGGUUUCUCAGCGUUGUCCUAUUCCUAUCCAGUUUUGUUUCUAUACGGACACGUUGUGCCGUGUGAUGUUUUGCCUAUGGAUAUAGGCCACAUCAUUUUGGGCAGGCCUUGGUUGUAUGACAUGGACGCAACACUAUUGUCUAAUACGUGUUCGUUUCUGUACGGGGGCAAAAGGAUUGUCUUGAAGUCUCUCCCACCCAAAAGCAUUCCUAAAAAGGAAGACGUCAAGACAUGUGGUCUUGAAGAUGUGACGAAACUUCAGCUUGAGUCUCUUCCCAUAGUUAAUGCCAAAGAGUCUGAAAAAGAGACUAAAACUAAUUUGACAUUGUAUGCCCACAUGGCAAGUGAGGUCACACCUAAGGUUAUUAUGGAGAUACCACUUGAGGUUACAUCUGAGGUUAGUAUAGAGUUACCAUCUGAGGUGAGUCCGGUAUUGGAGGAGUCCAGUGUUGUUAUUCCAGGGGACAUACCAGAUAAGCUUAUACCCGUGUGAGACAUUCACCCAUUGACUCUACCAAAUAUUCAUCAUGAUCAAAUGAGUCCUGGGGAGGACGUGGAUUUGGAAAGACAAGUAGAUGAGCCUAAGACCUCUAUAGAUUGCAUACUCAUGUCUGUGUUCCAUAGGCCUUUAGAGUUUGCACAUGCAUCUACACAACAUAUACAUGCCUUGCAUGUGGAGAUUAGAAAAAGAAUCAAUACAAGUAAUGAAACAUACAAAAUGAUUGCUGACUCACACCAUAGGUUUAAAGAGUUUGUUAUGGGUGAUGAAGUCAUGAUUAAAAUACGUCCAAAAAGGUUUCCACAGAGAACCAUAAAAAAAUUACAAGCCCGUAACGCUGGACCAUAUAAAAUCUUGAAAAGACUGGGUUCGAAUGCUUACUUGAUAGAUCUUCCAUCUAACAUGGGUAUCAGUUUCACAUUUAAUGUGGAAGAUCUUGUAUCGUUUCAUGGACAUUCCCUUAACCCUCACAUGAAUUUUGAUGAUGAUACCACUGAUCUGUCCCAAAGCCCAUGACCAUUACCUGACCCCUCUUCCCAACCUUUACCAUCCGCACCAUCCAUACCUAUGAGAAGAGAUGAGAUGAAGGAUAUCUUAGAUGAAGAAGCGGUUUCCACACGACAUGGCGGUUACCAGGAGUACCUUGUCAAAUGGAAGGGCAGACCAAAAUCAGACAGUACGUGGAUCACAGAGGCAACGCUUCAGCGACGAGACCUGGAUCUCCUCGAGCAUCACUGCAGCUUUAUUUCGCUAGAGGCGAAAUCUCCUCAGUUGAGGGGAAUUGAUGGGGACAUCAGAGGACGCACUCGGGUGUAACAGAGAUAGAGACGACCACUCAUAUUAGCGCAGCUUUCUUUGUGGAUGAUAGAUGAGUUUCAGAUGGGGGCCUGUUGGGCAUUUUGAAGACCCCACAUGUAUUGGGCAUGCAUUAGGAAGACCCCACUUUGGGAUGAUGCAUGUGGGCUGCUUAGGAGACUAUUUUAAUCAUAGGAUUUCUAUUUCGUGUCGAUCCGACCGUUGGAUCUUGUCGAUCAGGCUAUCGGGCCAUCAGAUCUUUUAGAUAUGGGCCCCUUGGACUCUGAUUUUGCUUUCUUUAUGGUUUUUGGUAUUUUUAAGAGUUAUUUGAUGGUUGAAAUUGAUAAUAUAUAUUUUAGUUUUCUUAUUUUGGAUGAUGGGCCGCUUUACUUAAGUGAGUGGCAUAGUUGUAAUUAUGCUGGAUUUUAAUUCUGAAUUUUUAAUUAUAAAUACAUAGGGAGAGUGGAGUUCCAACCCUAGUGGAGAUUUGAGAAGAAAAAAAGAAGAGAGAAGCUCUAUUGUGUGAA
This is a long non-coding RNA of Magnolia sinica, 2755 nucleotides long. RefSeq lists it as uncharacterized. NCBI's taxonomy places the organism in Eukaryota, Viridiplantae, Streptophyta, Magnoliopsida, Magnoliales, Magnoliaceae. The record is from RefSeq and is a predicted model, not a curated record. The transcript is spliced from 2 exons.